GACGAACGCUGGCGGCGUGCCUAAUACAUGCAAGUAGAACGCUGAAGGAGGAGCUUGCUUCUCCGGAUGAGUUGCGAACGGGUGAGUAACGCGUAGGUAACCUGCCUGGUAGCGGGGGAUAACUAUUGGAAACGAUAGCUAAUACCGCAUAACAGUAGAUGUUGCAUGUCAUUUGCUUAAAAGGUGCAAUUGCAUCACUACCAGAUGGACCUGCGUUGUAUUAGCUAGUUGGUGAGGUAACGGCUCACCAAGGCGACGAUACAUAGCCGACCUGAGAGGGUGAUCGGCCACACUGGGACUGAGACACGGCCCAGACUCCUACGGGAGGCAGCAGUAGGGAAUCUUCGGCAAUGGACGGAAGUCUGACCGAGCAACGCCGCGUGAGUGAAGAAGGUUUUCGGAUCGUAAAGCUCUGUUGUAAGAGAAGAACGAGUGUGAGAGUGGAAAGUUCACACUGUGACGGUAUCUUACCAGAAAGGGACGGCUAACUACGUG
RNAcentral lists this ribosomal RNA (495 nucleotides) under uncultured bacterium. RNAcentral's name for it is "partial 16S ribosomal RNA". It matches the Rfam family "Bacterial small subunit ribosomal RNA", at positions 28 to 507 of the family's 1533-position model. The record is from RNAcentral.